RNAcentral lists this long non-coding RNA (3536 nucleotides) under Malus domestica (apple). Its description in RNAcentral is "long non-coding RNA (MDOM_LNC010579)". Lineage: Eukaryota; Viridiplantae; Streptophyta; Magnoliopsida; Rosales; Rosaceae. The record is from RNAcentral.
UUUUUAUCAAAGUAUUAAUCUCUCUUUAAACCCAAUUUACUACCAAUACUACCUCACAAACUCAAUUCAAUAUGCAAAUUUAUACAUCCAUGUUUUCACAUUAGAAGCUAACUGGACCAGUCUCAUGAAGAUCCGUGUUAAUUAAAUCCAUUAAUCUAAUUAAACACAGUUACCAUGAGACUAUGAGAGUCAAACCAAAUUAUUCAAACCCUAGUUAUUUUAACAAAUGCAUGCAUAUUUUGCAAGCCGACUUGCAUACUGGGAAUAACAAUUAGCAAGCAUGCACCGAAGUUAGAAACUGAGAAAUGAAAACUCUUUCAGAAUAUAUAAAAUAAAAUAAUAAUAAGAUCACAUGACUAAUUAUAAACACUCAACAGUGCACAAACAAAAUGAAACGAAGUGCAAUGAUUAUCAUGUUCUCACAUGUUUGUAGUGCAUCUACAUAGCAAGACUACUAAUUAAACAUGAGUAACAUUUGAACGUAUUAAUUAAAAAAUUAAAAGAACUUUAUUGCUUAAUUAAAAUGGAUAGUUAAAAUUGAAGAAAAACACUUGAUUUAGAACUAGGUGUUAUCUUGAUCAGCUGCUGCUUGUUGUUUUGGCAGCAAUAGUAGCAUAAGUAAAAGUAGGUUUCCUACAGGUGAUGAGUAGUGGUGGAGAUGGUGAUGAUGGUGGUGGGGUUGGUGGAUGGUGGUGGUGGUAGUGAUGAUGAUGCUGAUAAAGGUCUAGGAAAGCGUCUUAGGAUUUUUGCCAGGAAAGAAUGCAAGAGAAAGAUUACGUGAUGGUUAGGGUUUGAUUAUUGGGUGGGAUUAUUGAUAAAUUUUAUUUUUAUUGUUAAUUUCAUCUUAUACUUAAUGAUAAUUAUGCAAUAGGAUAGUAAAGAUAUUUCAUAUUUAAAUUAUAAGUUAGGCGUAGAAAGAAGUUAUAUGAGUUUAAAUAAAAUUUUCCACAUUUUAUGUGAUAGCCCGUCCCGAAUGUGUAUAUUAUUUUAUCCUCGAUAGCAUGAAAUGACCAUUUUGCCCUUGAGCGUUGGAUUGUGUUUUGUAUUAGUGGGCUAAGGAAAGUGACCAAUUAAUUUCUUUCCUAGCUAAUUGGACCCAAUUAGAACUUAGGAUUUUGUUUGUUUUUGGUUGGUGACUCAACUAGGACCACACACACCCAUACACAAACUCCCGUUGACUCUCUCUCUCUCCUCCCUCUCAUACCUCUUUCCAUUUCCGUACAAUUGUACGGACAUAUUUCAAACCAACCUUUGCAGGCACAGAUUGAGACUAUGAAGGGGGGUUUUCAUGUUCCUUGCAAGCCCAGGAGUCGAUUCAUACCCUUAUUUGGUCGUGAGAGCUUGUAGAACUUGAAUUUCCCGAACUUCGGUGAGGGGUGAUUUUCCUCCAAUGUGAUCGCGAAGGUUUUAAGUGGUUUUAGACCUAAGAAGGUAUUAUUCUUGCUUUUCUAGCACGGUGGAUCGAUUUUGGAGUAGUUUUGACGUUAGAACACUUAGGUUUAUCAAGUUGUAGGUUUGAACAUUCGGUCGAAGGAUUUUCCGACCACUUUUCAUUGGUUUUAGGUCUCCAAAGUGGUAAGAAUGUGUUCUACUCAUUGUAAGCUUCAUUUUGGUGAAAAUUUCAUUGAAUUUGGUUGAGAAAUGGAAGAGAUAUGAAGCUUUAAAGUUUUUCCAGUUUUUGGCGACACAGACGGCGACGGCGACGGAAUCCGAUGCCUCGCCGGAGAAGAAGGCGAAUAUUCCAUCAACUUUGAUGGGAUAUUCUAACAGCGUCAGGUAUCUUUAACGACAUAUACUUUUAUUUAACGGAAUAUUCCCUAACGCUGUUAAGGAAUCCGUCAAUGUGCCAGGCAUGUGCUUGCACGUGGUACGUCGGAAAAAUUUUCUAAAAAUAUGGGGAUGUUUGUGGGGUUGAGUAGAUCACGUUGGUAUAUUCAAACACCCCAAUUGAGCAGUGUAUGAGAAGUUAUUACCUAGUUUUGGUUAUGUGCUUUAAAUAACGUUUAUAUAGUUGUUUCGCAUAUAAGUGAGACCUAUCCUGAGGACGAGCGUAGUCAAGCUAGGCUCGGGGGUUACGACCCUUCCACAUAUCAGUGAGUGGGCUUUUGGUUUUCAGUAUAUAUUUAUAUACUUGGUAUUUUUCCCAGAAAAUGUGUUUAAAUGAAAUUAUAUUUUGAAAUGCCAUGCUUAUUGAUUUAUACUUAGACUAUGAAAUUGUAUGGUAUAUACAUAUGUGAUUUGACGCGGUGGAUGCUCAGGUAAGUAUCAGGUGAGUUGUAGAUUGUUAUCGUGAAUUGAUGAUCCUGAGAGAUGUGUUGAGAGCUCAUAAACCUGCACCCCGGUGUUAGUGCUCCCGCCCGUGGUUAGGGCACAGUCCUUCACGUGAUGUUCACCUCCCGCACCAUACACUCACCUUGGAUCCAAGUUAGGUGCAUAGUCCUGUCGUACAAACCACUAUAGGUGGUUCCGACUUGUAAGUGGCCCGCGAUUAUUCGCAUAGUCUUCACGUGAUCGUAGCAUUAGAGCGUGUUUAUUUACACCCAGUCAUGUCAUAUAGACCACAUUAGGUGAUUCUGACUCAUGUGCAGGCAUACUUGUUGAGCUAUAGAUUCAGCCGUACAUGCCAUUUUAGGUGGAUCCGGCUGAUAUGUUAUAUUUCAUGAUAUUAUUUCACCUGAGUUACUUAUUUUGUUACUUUGAGAUAUAUGUCAUGGUAUACUAUGAUUUUCACUAUUUUGAGCAUAGUUUUGAGAUAGGUCUAUAUAUUCUAUUUUCUGGGAAUUUAUACAAGUUUUACGGCGAAAGGUUAGAACUUUUGAUAAAUGAAUUGGUUUUGAAAAGAUUUGUUUUUGCUCUCUCACACUUUCUGUUUUGCACCCUUCUAGGUUUUAGGUAGGAGUGCUUGUUGGUGACUCACGAGGAAUUCACGGCAACUCUGAUAGAUUAUCACUAGUGUUGGACCAUCUUUGGUACUAUAUAAUUAGUAUUCAUCUCGCUGGACUGCGUUUAGGCUACUUAUGCUCUGGUUAUGUGUGGUCACACUUAUUCUCGUCUUGCACCUUACCUUAUCUAGUGCUCUAGUUGGUUUGAUUUUAUUUAUUUGCAUUUCUGUAUAUCAUUAUUGCUUCUGCACUGUGCACAUGGCGACGUUACCUUCACGUGACGGUCAACAUGCCUUAAUCUAGGUCGGGGUGUGUCAUUUUCCCUUUACAAAUUGCAGAAAUCAAACCGAACUAAAUAACAAUUUUGGUUUAACUUAUAAUUUUAAUUAAAACAUUACGUGAAAAAAAAGUUAAAAAAAGGAAACAAAGAAGAAGAAAUGAAAACGAAAUAAAGUAAAAUUAAAGAGAAAAAUGAAAACAAAAGUGAACUUUUUUGAAAGUGGCAUGAGAGGAUCAUUGAUACAACCUGCUCUAUUGAUUGAUUCCCAUACAUGUUAUCACAAAAACUGCAUAUGCCUUUCCCUAUGCAUGCCAUGCUAAAAGGUUAUAACAUAUGAGACAUCCAACUAGGGAAAGCAUGCUACGCAGAUAUCU